AUUGAACGCUGGCGGCAUGCUUUACACAUGCAAGUCGAACGGUAACAGGUUAAGCUGACGAGUGGCGAACGGGUGAGUAAUGCAUCGGAACGUGCCCGGUCGUGGGGGAUAACGCAGCGAAAGCUGCGCUAAUACCGCAUACGAUCUGAGGAUGACAGCGGGGGACCGUAAGGCCUCGCGCGAUCGGAGCGGCCGAUGUCAGAUUAGGUAGUUGGUGGGGUAAAGGCUCACCAAGCCAACGAUCUGUAGCUGGUCUGAGAGGACGACCAGCCACACUGGGACUGAGACACGGCCCAGACUCCUACGGGAGGCAGCAGUGGGGAAUUUUGGACAAUGGGCGAAAGCCUGAUCCAGCAAUGCCGCGUGCAGGAAGAAGGCCUUCGGGUUGUAAACUGCUUCUGUACGGAGCGAAAAGGUCUCCUCUAAUACAGGGGGCUCAUGACGGUACCGUAAGAAUAAGCACCGGCUAACUACGUGCCAGCAGCCGCAGUAA
This 493-nucleotide ribosomal RNA is filed under the name uncultured bacterium. RNAcentral describes it as "partial 16S ribosomal RNA". It matches the Rfam family "Bacterial small subunit ribosomal RNA", at positions 29 to 523 of the family's 1533-position model. The record is from RNAcentral.